ACCCGCUGAACUUAAGCAUAUCAAUAAGCGGAGGAAAAGAAACCAACAGGGAUUGCCCUAGUAACGGCGAGUGAAGCGGCAACAGCUCAAAUUUGAAAUCUGGCGUCUUUGGCGUCCGAGUUGUAAUUUGCAGAGGGCGCUUCGGCAUUGGCAGCGGUCCAAGUUCCUUGGAACAGGACGUCACAGAGGGUGAGAAUCCCGUACGUGGUCGCUAGCCUUUACCGUGUAAAGCCCCUUCGACGAGUCGAGUUGUUUGGGAAUGCAGCUCUAAAUGGGAGGUAAAUUUCUUCUAAAGCUAAAUACUGGCCAGAGACCGAUAGCGCACAAGUAGAGUGAUCGAAAGAUGAAGAGCACUUUGGAAAGAGAGUUAAAAAGCACGUGAAAUUGUUGAAAGGGAAGCGCUUGCAGCCAGACUUGCCUGUAGUUGCUCAUCCGGGUUUUUACCCGGUGCACUCUUCUAUAGGCAGGCCAGCAUCAGUUUGGGCGGUUGGAUAAAGGUCUCUGUCAUGUACCUCUCUUCGGGGAGAACUUAUAGGGGAGACGACAUGCAACCAGCCCGGACUGAGGUCCGCGCAUCUGCUAGGAUGCUGGCGUAAUGGCUGU
Molecule: ribosomal RNA, 603 nt
Filed under: uncultured fungus
Lineage: Eukaryota; Fungi
Description: eukaryotic LSU rRNA
Rfam family: Eukaryotic large subunit ribosomal RNA
Source: RNAcentral